Molecule: long non-coding RNA, 659 nt
Filed under: Equus asinus (donkey)
Lineage: Eukaryota; Metazoa; Chordata; Mammalia; Perissodactyla; Equidae
Description: lncRNA (ENSEASG00005037288.1)
Source: RNAcentral
CUCGCGGGGCGCACAGGGCCUGGCGGGACCGCGCUCCCGGGGGCGGGCGGGAGGCAGGAGGGAGCUGGCGCGCGGCCGGGGAGGGGACCCGCCGGGGAAGCCGUGGGGCGGGAUGUCAGCAGCUGCAAAACGAGCCCGCCUCCCUUCCCGGUAUCCUCGCGGCCACCCCGCGGAAGGUGGCGCCGCGCCAGGCGGGCACCAGAACCGGCGCAGCCACGCCCUGCCGAGGGUGCAGGACGAAUCCUGCCCCUGGGGAAUGUGAGUCUUCAGACCUUCCUGUCCUCCUCCCCUGACGCCCUCCAGUUUCCCGACAUUGCGCUUCAAACGUGUCACCCAGAACAGUGCCCACGGCUGCCCACAAAGGACUGGAGACGGCUCCAUCCCGAUGGGGACCAGGGACGCGGGGGCUUCCUCAUGUCCCAUGGAAUCCAAGCGCAGCCAACGCCUCCGCGUCUUUCCUCCUCCGCCCCCAGUUCUGGAGCACCUGGGCAUCAGAUCGAGGAUUCCAUAUUUAGUCCUAUUCAGUUCCCUCUGUGUCUUUCAACCUCUUGUUCUACCUAGGCUGUCACCAUUUUUGAAUCCAGAUAAGUUAGAUUACACCCUAGUUUUGUUUUGUCUGAAAAUCUGGUCGUCUGCUUUCGUGGUCUUCACUUCAGUCC